This 460-nucleotide ribosomal RNA is filed under the name uncultured bacterium. RNAcentral describes it as "partial 16S ribosomal RNA". It matches the Rfam family "Bacterial small subunit ribosomal RNA", at positions 338 to 795 of the family's 1533-position model. The record is from RNAcentral.
CCUACGGGUGGCAGCAGUGAGGAAUAUUGGUCAAUGGGCGCGAGCCUGAACCAGCCAAGCCGCGUGAGGGAGGACGGCCCUACGGGUUGUAAACCUCUUUUGCCGGGGAGCAACGGGCGUCACGUGUGGCGCCACUGAGAGUACCCGGAGAAAAAGCAUCGCCUAACUCCGUGCCAGCAGCCGCGGUAAUACGGAGGAUGCUAGGGGUAUCCGGAUUUAUUGGGUUUAAAGGGUGCGCAGGCGGAUGUGCAAGUCAGCGGGCAAAUUGCGGGGUUCAACCCCGUACUGCCGUUGAAACUGCAUCCCUUGAGUGCGCGAGAAGUAUGCGGAAUGCGUGGUGUAGCGGUGAAAUGCAUAGAUAUCACGCAGAACUCCGAUUGCGAAGGCAGCAUACCGGCGCGCAACUGACGCUCAUGCACGAAAGCGUGGGUAUCGAACAGGAUUAGAUACCCGUGUAGUC